AGUGGAAUACCAACUUCAUGUACACUUGGCUUAUUCAGCACCCAUAAAAUUCAAUGGACCACCAUCCGGACAAAAGGAUAAAAACAGAACACAUCAAGAUAAUGAAUUUUCUUCAAACUACUGAGGUACAAUGAAAAAUGGAAAUAUUAUCUCAGAAAUUACAACAGAGGGAUGAAGAUAUAGCAUAUGCUGUACCUAAAAGAUACAUCAAAUGGGAUAUUGGGAAUAUGGAUUGAUGAAAUUUAAUUUACGAUUGUCCUAUAAUGCCUUUUCAUUACAGUACCACACAAAUUGAGGCAAUAAAUGUAUAUUUGAUCAAAAAA
Molecule: long non-coding RNA, 323 nt
Filed under: Pan troglodytes (chimpanzee)
Lineage: Eukaryota; Metazoa; Chordata; Mammalia; Primates; Hominidae
Description: lincRNA
Source: RNAcentral